GAUGAACGCUAGCGGCAGGCUUAAUACAUGCAAGUCGAGGGGCAGCAUGGUGUAGCAAUACACUGAUGGCGACCGGCAAACGGGUGCGGAACACGUACAGAACCUUCCUUCGAGCGGGGAAUAGUCCAGAGAAAUUUGGAUUAAUACCCCAUAGUAUAUUGGAGUGGCAUCACUUUAGUAUUAAAGAUUUAUCACUUGAAGAUGGCUGUGCGGCUGAUUAGGUAGUUGGCGGGUAACGGCCCACCAAGCCUGCGAUCAGUAACUGGUGUGAGAGCACGACCAGUCACACGGGCACUGAGACACGGGCCCGACUCCUACGGGAGGCAGCAGUAAGGAAUAUUGGUCAAUGGACGAAAGUCUGAACCAGCCAUGCCGCGUGGAGGAUGAAGGUCCUCUGGAUUGUAAACUUCUUUUAUAUGGGACGAAAAAGGGCUUUCUAGCUCGUCUGACGGUACCAUAUGAAUAAGCACCGGCUAACUCCGUGCCAGCAGCCGC
Molecule: ribosomal RNA, 495 nt
Filed under: uncultured bacterium
Lineage: Bacteria
Description: bacterial SSU rRNA
Rfam family: Bacterial small subunit ribosomal RNA
Source: RNAcentral